CUCCUCCUCCUCUCACCCAGGAUCACUUCCGAAACCACUUGGCCUUCAGCCCCUGCCUCGGCCAGAGGUUUCAUUUUUAACUGAAUAUUUACGAAAGCUGAAAGCGUGCGAGGGGGGUGGGGUGGAAAUAGCGGCUGCUUCUUUUCCAAGGAUUUAUUUAAUGGGGAUGUGUUCAAGGCAAGACCGAAUUCAGAAGGAUAUCGACGUCGUGAUCCAGAAGUCCAGAGCUGAGGACUGCCUGUUUGCAGAUUUCAGGUACUCAGACUCCACCUUUACUUUUACCUAUGUUGGCGGCCCCAGAAGG
This 304-nucleotide long non-coding RNA is filed under the name Homo sapiens (human). RNAcentral describes it as "non-protein coding lnc-PPIAL4D-19:7". Lineage: Eukaryota; Metazoa; Chordata; Mammalia; Primates; Hominidae. The record is from RNAcentral.